UCCCGGACGUAGAACUUGCGACUAGGUUGUGAAGUCUGUGGAAAUGGUGGCUUACAGCAAAGCAGACUGGUGUGCUAAAUAACUUCGUUGCAGGCAUCUGAACAGCAGUGGAACGACUUUCGACCUGGACCGUGAAAGGUCUGGUCCUAGUGUGCCUUUCCACAUGACUGGCUUCUGCCUGAGGCAAGCGAAGUCUGGUUUCAGCGAAG
Molecule: long non-coding RNA, 209 nt
Filed under: Struthio camelus australis
Lineage: Eukaryota; Metazoa; Chordata; Aves; Struthioniformes; Struthionidae
Description: lncRNA (ENSSCUG00000006967.1)
Source: RNAcentral